CCUGUUGAAAACCUUUAUGCCUCUUGAUACUAUUGUUCUUUUGUGAAACCUUCUAUACUGUGGACACUGUACUUUCACCUAUAUAUAUAUAUAUAUAUAUAUAUAUAUAUAUAUAUAUAUAUAUAUAUAUAUAUGUUAUAUCCGAUCAUUUUCUAGGUAAUAAAUCUUAUUAUGCUGGUGGUAUGAUAUUAUUUGUGAGUAUUAGAUCGAUAUGGAGUUCAAGAUAAUAGCUCUCCGAGUUGCCUGAUAUUUGUAAGCCAUGAUGCAGGUGAUGCCUUCAUAAUAACUAUGGAUUUUAUAGGAAUAGUUGUGAGAAGUAGUCAUUCUAUAUACACAUUUACCAUCUUACCUUUCCUAAACACUAUUUCUUAUGCUUCAUGUGUGUUCAGGAAGGCAGCUAAUGGAGCCCAAAGUGGUAGUGCAAUCACAUACUGUCUUCAAAGAAUGGGUUCUUCUUCAAAUAUUAUUUUAGAUUAUCAUGUCAGCUAAUUUAGUUAGUAAAAUUUUAAUGUUUAUCAUAAGAUCAUCAAUUUAUCAUAUCAUAAUUUUAUUUUUUUUAAAUAUAAUAUUUAUAUAAAAAAUAUAAAUACUAUUAUAUUGCAAGAGAAUGAAAGUAAAUGUUAAGAUAAUGAGAGAGUAAUGCAUAAGAUUAUUUUCUCAAUAUUCUUGCAAUAAAAAUAUUUUAAUAUUUUUGAAAAAAUAAAUAAAUAUCUUUAAUAUAAAUAAAUGAAAGCAUUUACCAAUUACCACUCUUUACUGCUCAACGCCUAAAUGACGUUCACCGCACAAUUCUAUAUUAGUAUCGUAUCAUUCACCCCCCCUCUCGUUAUCUUUCCACAAAGCGGUUUCCUCGGCCCCCGUCUCCUCCAAUUUCCGUACCCACCUACGCGGGGACGCAUCGCCUGCGACGGUCUCAAGCCCACCGAUCGAUUCUCCGAGGAUUCGUCUCGAGGAACGCGAGACGAUCUCUCGAGUUCAGUUGUCGGGUAAUCCCCGUUCUUUCUCUUUUGUUUCCGAUCUCGACCUAGGUUUUUGCUCAAUACAGAUCCAGUGGACCUGUUCGUCUUUCGUGCGUUGGACUCUUCGGAUCUGCUGAUUCUAGUACGGUCUGUUCCUUUGAUCGGCCACUGGGUGCUUCACUUGUACGUUUCAUCUAAUUAUUGUUUACGGUAGUAGAUCUAGGGUUUCGUUUCUUCUGUUGGUCUAGGGUUUAUUGAUUGAUGCAAUAAGUGCAGCGGAAUUUAGUAGAUCGACAUGGAUUUGGUGGUAGGGAUGAGCGGAAGAGUGAGGUGUCUUGAAAGAGCGAAAAUUAGGGUGAUGACUUGUUGUCGAUGCCUUGGUGUUUCGUUGAGUACUACUGUAUCUUGGUAUCAGUAUGGACAAGAAUUAAGUAAAGAUAUCGUCAAGUCUUCCUCAUGCAAUUGCCUGAGACCUUGUUCUUUUGCUGUAUGACUUUAUUGUGGCUCUGAUAUAUUUACAUCCAUCUUAACUUACUGGUAAUUUGGUGUAGGAAGGUGUCUCCGUCAUGAAAUUAAAUUUGUCACUUACAUUCCUUUUGGAAUGUCUCUGAUGCAUGCUACUAGAAGAUAGAAUUUUGGAAUAGUCAUCUUGAUUUUCUCCGAAGACAAGUUUUUGUAUCUUCACGGUAGAUGCAGUUUUUUUUUAAAUUUUAUUCUUUCCCCUUGUCUGUGAUUGUUUAUGUUCUAAAUAUAAGUUUGAUUUUCUGUGUAAUCAACAUGUUAGUUUAUUUGCAUAGCAGCAUUCUUUUUAAUGCAUUUGGAACUAAUUAUAUAACAACUAGAUGGUAUUGUCAUUUGCAUCAAAAAUUUAGUUUGUGGCCAUUUUUUGUAUGCAUUCUUAUUUUUGGUUCUACAAGAUUGUUAGCUUAAAGAUUAAUUUGCACAAGAAAGCUAUAAACUUGGAUAUUUUGGAGAUAGGGAUAGCCCUUUAGGACUUUGAGUCUUGAGAUGAUAUACCCAGGAAAUUGUCUUACUAAUUGACCUUGUCCUGAAAAUAACUCCUCACUUGUGAAACUUCCAUUUUUUUUAUUUUUUUUCAAAAAUCAUCAAGAAAAAACAAAAGUCUAAUGCUGGUCAUAUGUCUUUCUCGAUCUGUAUUUUAUGUAUGUAUUUUUCAGUAUCCAAUUACUUUUUCAUUCACUUUUACAAUUUUCUUUUCUUGUGUACUGUUCCUUUUGCUUAUCUUGAUGAUAUUACUUGAUAUGGGCAUAGCAUCAGAUGUUGCUUGAUUGUACAAUAUUUUACAAAUAUUGGAUACUUGAACCCUUUCAAACAUUUUCAUACUUUUCGUAUUAUAAAAGAAUAAGUUUUGUACCGAUUUCUUACUUUAGUGUUUCAUAGCAUAAGGUUCAUUAGUACUACUGAUGAAUAUUAAACAUGUUAAAUAUGUAGGCACCUGUGAUAGGAUGAUUGCUAUUCGGAAAGGCAAUGUGUGGGUAUAAGUAGCCUAUACUUGCCAAAAUGAAUUCUUUCUUAAAUUAAUCUGCAUUGGUUGCAGAUGCUCUUUUUGAUAUAUUCCACAAUAUAUUUUGGCUGCUAUAAAUCUAUAUUCUGGAUUUUAGUCAUAACAGUUUUGAAAUCCUUCGGAGUUGAACCAUUAAUUUCAAGAUGUUCUGUUGAUCAUGAACUUCUUUACUCCAAUCUUUCUUUUUUGGAAUUUCUCAUCAGUGAUCUUGGUUAUUGUGAGUCCCUUGGUGGUAUCUGUUGUUUUACUUGUCAGAAAGUUUGGCUUGGAGACAUUAAUAAAUACUUUUUUAAGCAGUUAAAUUGCUAAAACACAAACUUUCUGUUCUUCUCGUUUCUGACUGUGGCUUUCUAUGUGAUAUUGUUUUCUAGUGCCUAAUUAUUGUUUGUUUAAUUCUUAUUUCUCCCUUUUUAUGCCCAGGUAACUUCUGAAGGUUAUUUUGAUUAAAAUUCUUCAUCAGUUCCUAUUCGUGUGGGUUAAGAUGGUAAAGUUGACAAUGAUAGCACGUGUUACCGAUGGCCUACCUUUAGCAGAAGGAUUGGAUGAUGGUCGUGACCAGAAAGAUGCUGACUUCUAUAAGCAGCAAGCAAAGCUUUUAUUUAAAAGUCUCUCAAAGGGUCACUAUGAGGCUUCUAGAAUGUCAAUCGAGACUGGUCCAUACUUUUUCCAGUAUCCUAUGUCUGGUUGUUUUUCUUGAAAGUGAUUCGGUACUUGGGCAUGUAGUUCUUGUUAACCAAGCUUACAUUGCAUGGGAAUGAUGAUAAUGAAAAAUGUGGUCAACAAAUCAAAUAUUUCAGGUUAUCCAAUUUUUACAUCAACAUGAAAGGUUUUUAAGCUUUUCCAUCUUGAAAAUUCUUUUGUAGGACUGACAUAAUCCAGUAGUAGGUGGCUGUUUUCUUUCUUGAGAGAUAAUUUCCUUCGGAACUGAUUUAUGUACUUCAAUUCUUUGUGCAACUGUUAUUUAAUGAAGAUUUAGCCAAACCCCAAAUAUUCGGGACAUUAUGGCUUCUAGUUAUUGUUGUUGUAUCCUGUGAAAGAAAUUUUGCUGUCAUUUGAAUAUACAACAUAUUCAAUUGAUCUGACCUUAUUUGCUGUACCACUUUCAUUGUAUUGUAACGAUCAGGACUUCUGAAGAUUUUUUUAACGAAUAAUUUUCUGCUGUCAACUGAUAAUACAUCAUAUUCAAUUGGUCUGAUCCCUUUAAUUUUUGAAACCAAAAGAGCUUUUCCACUAUCAUUGUAGGGAUCACAACUUUUAAAGAAUAAAUUUCUGCAGUUCUCCAUGGUAAUGAAGGUAGUUUGAUUUUGUUGAACUAAUAAUUGAUUCUUUUCUGUUUUUAUAAGAUAGUUAUAUUCUUGUUGCACUUUGAAGUGUGGUACUUUUUGCUUUAUUUCUCCUUGACUCAGCUGCUUAGCUAUAUUAUUGAGGGCCGUGUUUGUUACCUGACAAUGUGUGAUCGAUCUUAUCCAAAGAAGCUUGCUUUCCAAUACUUGGAGGACCUCAAGAAUGAGUUUGAGAGGGUCAAUGGAGGUCAAAUUGAAACUGCUGCAAGACCAUAUGCUUUUAUCAAAUUUGGUACGUUUUCUUAUGUAACUGUAGUUUGUCCUCUGUAAUUUGUUAAUUGUAUUUAAAUUCUGAUGUUUUGUUGCUUUGUCUUUUGUGCUUAUGUAGAUACUUUUAUACAGAAAACCAAGAAACUUUAUUUGGAUACCCACACUCAACGUAAUAUUGCAAAGCUUAAUGAUGAACUUUAUGAAGUCCACCAAAUAAUGACUCGCAAUGUUCAGGAGGUUCUUGGUGUUGGUGAAAAGUUAGACCGUAAGUUAACCCUACUCUUUUUUGCCUAUGAUAUAUAUUAGUACUUAGUGACAAAUGGAGAUGUUGUACUAAAAAUUACUGAUUCCUAUGCUGUUGUUCUAGCAUUUUGCAAAAGGUUUAUUAGAAGAUUGAAAAAUCAACUUUGCAUCAACUUUAAACCCAUCUGUGAACUUUUAAACUGCCCUUUGUAAUCUAACCUUAAGAAAUGAACCAUCAAAAUCUUUCCCCAACUUUUUUUAUCAUUUUGUGCAAUUAGAAUAAUCUUUGAUUGGUUUUUAUUUAAAUAAAAAAGAAAAAUUGGAUAUUUUCUCCUGAGUAGACCUGUGUCAAAUUACAUAUAAGCAUUAUUUUUCCUGUUCCAAGUACUCAUGAAGUACCUGUUUUUAGGUUCAAUGACUGAGACUCUGAUUUUGCAGAAGAGGGUGCAAAUCUUGGGCUGAAUAGUGACUGUUGGUUAAGCAUGAACUUUUGUUUGAACAAGCAGAUCAAGGUUUCUGGUUUUGUAGGAAGAUAGAAUGAAAUUUGAGUGUAUUCACAAACCAUGAUUCCAUAACUCAUUUUAGCUGCACAAAUUAUUAUAUUCUAAAGCUGAAAUUAGUCAAGGAUUAAGAAUGAAGAUGAUCUAAGCAUGAGAAUGAUAUUUACUCAAUCAUUGUGUUCAUUGUCCAUUGUUUUAUUUUGGAAACAUAGGGUAAGCACAAUGCUUGUACAGAAUGAUGUACUUUCUCUAGUUGCUUUUUAAAUUGGCAUUCACCAUCAUGAGUAUUUUAUUGUCAAUCAAUAACAUUUAAACUCAUUCAUGGCCUUCUGUUUUUACUGGUUCAUCACAAUGUGUUUUUAUAAUAAUGAGACGUAUUUUUGAAGUUCAUUUUGCAAAAGAGAGUAAUAUAUACUUUAAAAUUUUUGAGGCAACUUGUUACGUAGAAGGAAUUAUCUUAAAGGUUACUUGUUAUGUACUUCCUGAUAUUUUUGAUGUUAACUUGGCAGAGGUCAGUGAAUUGUCAAGCAGGUUGACAUCUGAGUCUCGAAUCUAUGCUGACAAGGCGAAAGAUUUAAAUCGGCAGGUAAGCAUGUAGUCAGAUAUUUUCACUAGUUUUGUUUUGUAUUCUAUUUGCUCAUGUAGAUACAUUUGGAAUUUUUGCAAGUUUUAGCUGCAUGCCUCAUGUCUAGAAACUUGUCUUGUCCCAUUAAUUAGAAUAGAUACCUUCUGAUAAUUUCAUUUCUAAACAUCAUGGUCAACCUUUAUGAGGCCGUUGCAAUGCAAAACUGCUUUAGCAGAAUAUUAUAUAUUGCCUACUAAGCUCUUCUUCUCCAAAUUGAUACUGAAUCUAAAUUGGGCAAUGUGGGCAAAACAAGUGUAUCUAAAUUGCAAUAUUACAAAAGGUAUUAUCGCAUCAGUGCUAAUGUGUGUCCUGAGGCCUUUGCAUAUGCAAUUACAUAACCAAAACAAAAAAAAAACAUAACCACAUUUUAUAGGACCUUUGGCCUGUAUAAGAUAUAUUUCUUAAUUUUUAUGCAUGCAUUUUUAAAUGCUUGGUUUGUAUUGCUGCCACUGGAUUAGAAUGAACAUUGUCUUACCCACACAGUGAGUUAUAAGCGGGUUCAGUUGGAAAUACAGUGUUGGUCAAUCAUGCAGGAUUUUGAAUUCAGUUUGGCCUUUAUUAUACCAUACGACCCAAUCUCAUUCCUAGGAUGUAGUGACUGUGUCCGAGACAUGGUGACAUGUGCCGUGUGAGGGUAUUCUGCCACACCCUUUUUUAUUGUGCAAGAGCAGACAAUCAACUCCAUGAAGAUCUGUAUCACCUCAUUCGACCAAGCUGAUAGCUGACAGCUGUAUAUUAAUAAAGCAGUGUUUGAUCCUGGCAGAUAAAAAGAAUCUAGGGCUGUUAUUCUAAUAAACUGAAGUCAUACAGGAUUCAAAAUAAAACAAAGAAGAAAAAUGACACUAGGAAUGAGAGGUGGCGGAAAGUUUAGGUACAGGUCCAACCAGCCUGAAAGCAAUUGUAACUUGUAAAUCUAAGUACUCGAAUAUUAGAUGGGGAUUCCCGGUUAUAAAUUACAAUAGAUCACUUGGUUAACGGUUAAUAUCUCGGGCCCACAUGGUUUAAGGUCCAUUAUAUGUAAGUUAUUGGAUUAGGAGGUCUAUUGAGGCGGCCUGUGGAAAUGAUUAUUCCGUACGUUUGUUCCUAAAAAUGUGACUGGGCAUUGUAUUUGCAAUGCUUGAUUGUAAUGUUUUCUUCAAUCAUAUUUUGAUUGAAGAUACCUGGAGCCCAAACAACAUGUGGUGGUUUAUUUGAGACCUUUUACCACACACAUCUAUCAACAGGAGUCGCAUUGGUGAAAAACGAAAGCUGAGAGAUGUCCCCAAGCGUUAGCAAAAUCUACAUGUGCAUGAAACAUAAAUCUAUACAUUUGUUUCAUACAUAUAAAUACAUGUAUUUCAAAUAUAUGGAUUAUAUGCACGAAACAGUAAGUGGUAGAAGUUGCACCCCUUGAACUGAUACUGGCAGAGACUUUAUUGAUAAUAAUGGGCACAUGUGAUGUCAACUGAAGAAUGAAGAGGGAGGAUGCUGGUUAGGCUUUGACAAAUAUGAAUUCCUCUCGGGCAAUGUUGUGGUUGUAAUCUGUACCUGAUUCUAUGAUUUGUGACAUUAUACCCACUGAAUCUGUAUCCUACUCAUUUGCAGGCUUUGAUUCGAAAAUGGGCGCCUGUUGCCAUUGUGCUUGGAGUAGUCAUGCUUCUCUUUUGGGUCAGAAAGAAGAUAUGGUGAGUCAGCGGAUCGAACAGUCAUAUUCUCUCUUCAUUAUGUUGUCAGGUGCGUGGAGUCGGCCUUGUAGAUAUCCAGCUCGGCCACAAGACGUCAAAACGAGCCUCCUCUGGCCAUACAACCACAGCUGGGAUGCACUCGUUUUCUUAUCAUAAGAACAUAUAUGAGCCACAAGAAUCCCUAAGACUUCAACCCAACGUUUCCCGGCUAUGCGAUAUUGGGACUGUUGAGCCUGAACGCUACAGCAUUAUUAUUACUUCAUUCAUUUUUUUCGGACAUUGCACAAAAUCUUAAUGUUCCAUUAGCUGAUUCAUGAACUAGUUUUGAAAAAAGCAGCAGACGUCGCACUUGUUUUAGCUUGAGAAUAAAUAUCAUCCUUAGAACUCUCUUUUCUAUCAAUCUAAAUCCAAAAUAUAAUAUUCAAUCAUGUAUGUCGUGUGUCAUAUGUAUGUAUGUAUGUAUGUAUGAUUAUUUUAUAUAAUCAUGUCAAAAGAUUGGCUAAGAUAAAUUGUCAUUCGCACAUGACACCUGAUCAAGUUACGAUCUAUGUUUAUGUUUGGAUCGGACGGAGAACGAUCUGUUCAACCGACAAACUGUGUUCUGAACUCGGGACAAGCAAUUGGCCUCACAGGCCUCGACAAUAAUAGUUUUAUUUCAGGCAUUGUAGUCUUUUAACUACAUGACGUGCAAUAAUAGUAUGGUGAUGAAACCAUGUAGCGAAGACUUAGCUGGUCUCAGUCUUUGUGAAUCUGUAUUUCAAGUACAAUCCAAGAACAAACAGCACCAGGAAAGCGACAGCCACGUUCAUCAGCAAUGUCUUUCUCGCUUGACUCAGCCCCAUGUAGAUGCUACUCAUGCCGCCACUUCGAUCACCGCGAUCGUCGGCGGUCAUCUUCUUUGGGUUUGCCGGCUGCGCCGCUUUCGUUUCAUCGACCGAUUUAUUAUCCUCAAUUUCCUGUUUGUUAGCAGCCUUCUCCUUGGACUGCGGCUCCCUUGCAUCUGCCGGUUGAGGCAGAGCUCCAUUUCCUCUGACGACCAUCUUCGGGAUAUGCACUUGAAGCAUCUCAUCGUCAAACUUGGCUCGGACAUCAUUCACUUUGCAGUUAUCUGGCAACUGGAAGUCCUUCCAGAACCGGCUCCACUGCUUGCCAUCCAGCGGCCGCUCGCCGCUGGUCCUCAGCGUGCCAUGGCUGUCUAUCUGCACCCUCACUUGGUCGCUCUUGAAUCCUGCAACAUCAACACCAAGCUCAAGACUAAGAAACCAAGUGCACACUCAUUGUCCUGAAUGAGGAGGAAAGCUUGCCAGGGAGAUGAAUGAGAAUGUCGUCGGAGGUUUCUCCUCGAACCCAGUCGAAGACGGGAUUCAAAUCCGUGUAGGAGCGGUCAGCAGGUGCUGUCUGCGGCUUGGUGUCCAUUUCCUGCCCUCUCGGUUUGCAGGGCUGCCGUGAACGAGUUGGAUGACUGGAGAUGGAAGACAUGGCUACCUCCUUUAUAGAGCUGUUGCUUGGGUUGGUUAACAAGGGAAGAUUGGCUUAACAGGUGAGGGAUUCCCUUCUGGCCUCCAUGGGUGGGCAAAAGGAUGCCUUCUUUAGCUCACACUCUUCUUUUCUUGUUUGGCUUACCUGACAUAAUACUUUACUUCUUGUGAGAAUGUAAGCAUUCUUGUUCAACUGAUCAGUAGGCUUUAAACAAAUCAUAGAUCUUUUGGAUAUGUACUCCUCAGAACAUCCUUCAACUUUCAAUGUGAGAUUAAUCAGGAUAUAAUACCUGCAUAAAUUAGAAAUGGUUGUAUCCAACUAGAUCUAAUCCAAUUGAUGAGCUAAAGAGUCCAUCAUCAUCUGGUUGGGUCAAGAACCACAUCUCUAGUAGGCCAGUUUGAAUGGAUCCAGGUUUAGCUUUGAAUCAUAUACUUAGCUUUGGUGUCUGGGAAUUAAACCUAUAUCAAGUUUUAAUUUUUCCUAAUAGCAAUAUAUGGAUGUUUUCUAAUGUCUGGAGGUGUGCAUAGAACAUUUUAAACUUAAUCAACAAGAAAUAUGAGUUAACUUUUGUUCUCUUUUUGUUGUUUGGAAGGAAAAAAAAGAAAAAAAAAGAAUCUAUUUCUUUUGCAUUAUUCAAGAGAAAGUAGGCACUUAAAACAAGAGGGAAAUAGGAUUGGAGGUUUCCAUGUCAAAACAAGCUUUUAGGUGGAAUGAUAGUGAGCAAAAAAGACAGAGAUUCCCUACAAUGCAAUUGGUCAUAUUUGAUGGCAAUGAAUGUGACAUUAGAUUUGGGACAAGAUUAAUCACUAUCUCCAUCUUUUGCAUGUGUGCUCUUCUUAGAUUGAUAGCUUUUAAAUUGUGGCUCUCUCUUCCUCUAUAUAGCACUUGCUUGUUUGUAGUUUCUUUUUCUACUACUUGUAGGCCUACACCACUUUGCCCAUGGCAGAAGGUUACCAUGAGAUCCCAAAGCAAAACGAUACUUAGCGUUUUGAGCCCACCAAAAGAAGAGCACAAUUAUCCUUAGUAGACAACCUUAGCAGAAGGUUUAAUGGAGGCAAGCAUAUAUAUAUAUAAAUGGCUUCCAUCUUUAUGCAUGCAUUGAUCCUAACCAUGGCGCCUCGUUCUCGCUCCUACGAAGAUUACGAGCCGGACUUUAAGUGGGUUCGGGGAGAAUCCCUCGACACUCUUUUCAUUGUUCUUCCUGGCAAGUAGUAGUCCAUUCUCAUCUUCGACCUUGAUCGGUUUCAUCAUCUUCGUAGAGCUGCAAAGAUUUUUGUAGGUUUGAGCUCUUUGUUCUCUUUCCUCCGUCUGUGUGUGUCACCAUGAGAAAGAGAUGUGGAGGAUAGGAGUUUGUGUGUGAGAGAGAAAGAAAGAGUCCAUCAAUCACAUAUUUCAAUUUUUUUAUUUUAUUUUUAUUUUUUUAAAUGAUCCUCUAAUUAGCUAUUUAUUAAGCUAUCGAAGGGAUAAACAUUUGAUCAUUUAUUUAUUUUCUUUAUUUUUCUUACCGGUUUGAAAUCGAACCGAUAUAUAUAUAUCGUAAUUCCGAUGAAAACAUGAUUUCAGUUCGAGUCGAGUCGAACCAUGAUAAAGAGUUGUUUAAGAAUUUAUCGAAGUUUAGAGAGAGAGAAAAGGGAUUGGAGCUACAUCAGUUACCAUUUCAUGAACACACACAAAAAAAACAGAAAGCAAAGGCAGUCACUUUGGAUCGUAAGGAGGGAAAUGUAGUUGAGAGAUUGAGCUCAUAUUGUUGUCUCGGCGGUGUGUUGAUUUCCCUUUUUCUAUCGAUGAAUGAGACAGGAUGGAUCUGUUUGUACUGAAUGAUCAUUAAUGUCGAAUCUUAGAAUGAGACAAAAUCUAUUAAUCUAUAUAUUUCUAAGACUCUCCUCUCUCCUCUGGCGGAGGAAGUCAUUCUAAAUGCUUAAGCAAGUCAUCUUGACACAGGUUUCAAGAAGAACCACAUCAAGGUGCAAGUCGAGGCUAACGGCUUCUUGACGGUGGCCGGAGAACGACCGCUCGAAGGCAAGCGAUGGCUCCGGUUCUGGCAGGAGUUCGAAAUGCCGGACAACUGUGACGUCGACUCUGUCCGGGCCAAGUUCCAGGGCGAGAAGCUUUACGUCCGCCUCCCGAAACUGAGCACUCCAGCCGACGACGACGACGACGCUCAAACUCCGCCCAAGGUGGCGGCGAUGGAAUCACCACCAGGCAGCGGCCGACACGACACGCCGAGGCCGAAUGAAGGCAGCGUGGUUGACGCAAGAGAAGAGAAGGAGGAGGAGGAAGAGAAGAAGAAGCAACUCAACGGAGAGACAGAAUAUGGAUCGGAUGGCAUGGGGUUGAGCGAGACCAGCAAGAUCACACUGCUGGUGAACGUGGGUGUGGCCGCCCUGUUCUUUUUCUUGCACUGUAUUUGGAUUAUAGAUUGAUGAAGGCACUUUGAUGUCUAAUUUAUCGAACAAUAAUAAUCACAAGGAUUCGUGAAACUUAUUAGUGUAAGAUUGUGAUGCAUGAAAUAAGAACAGCAAUGCUAAUGAUUCGAUAUCGUUGUUUUUCUAUAUCGACUCUGAUACCACUCGACACGAGUAACAUAAAACGUCACUAGACUAGCAAAAUUAAGGUCCUCAUGCAUUGAUAAUUCAUUUUAUUUAUAUUUUGUUUCCAUCCCAUAAUUUAUUCUACUCACUAAGUGAACUCGAGUGUAUUUAAUUCGAUAUUUUAUACGAAUAUCGAAUUCUCGAGGGCUCACGACGAAGAAUAUCUUAUUCUUCCAUGAUGAAGAAUAUCUAUAGAUAUAGAUAAAGAGUGUCGAAUCAUAUAAAACUCUAUCAUCAUUAUUGAUAGAAGAUAAGAUUUCGCCAACUAUAUGAGGAAAUCUCUAGGGAACAUGUUACUGAAUUGAAGCAUUUUCAUUUCUUCAAUAAAGCUUCUUAUCUUAUAUUAUUUUCAUCAUGGUAUCAGAGUAGUGAGAAAAGCGAAGUUUCGCUCUUGCCUUUGGCUAGCGACCAACGUCGCUGAGAAAAGCGAAGCUUCACCCUUGUCUUCGGCCAGCGACCAACGCCGCUAAUUUUCCUCACCGUAGUAGCCUUCGCUGAUCUGCCAAUAGUCGGUGGACUUGAGAACGAAGGGCGGACUUAAGAAGAACGAAGGGAAUGCCUGUGCCCUCACAGCAACAGUAAUCGCAACAAUAGCAGCGAUAUGCUUCCUACUCACGAAGUCUCUCGCUUGUAAACCAUUUUUUGGAUCCAAGAUUGAUAUUCUUAUCAGGAGCACCAUCGAAAUCUCUCUAUUCUGUUGAGGGAAAUCCUCUCUCCUAAUCUGUAUAAAUAGGAGAGGAAACAUGUUAAUGAAUUGAAUGUUAAUGAAUUGAAGCAUUUUCAUUUUUUCAAUAAAGCUUAUUCACUUCUUCAAUAAAGCUUCUUUAAUAAUUGUUCUUAUCUUCUAUUAUUUUCAUCAAAUAUAAAGUCCAAUUUUGAAUUGUUCUCCCCAUAUUAUUAGGUAAGAAAAGAUCACGAAAAGUAAGAAAUGAUCUUUUUCAUUGUCCGUAUUUUGUGUAGCUAACCUCUGUUAUAUGCCUCACAAGAAUUCAGAUUAAAGUUUGAGAAGCAAAUUGUAGGAAGUUUUCAUCUUGUUAUAUAAUAUAAUUAUUGUGUAUAAGGCUACAAUGGACAUUCAAUGCUGAGUGAAGAAGAUGAUUUAGUGCACUGAUUUUGAUGCAUGGAAUGAAUGAUUGACAGGAUUGAUGGAUGGAUCUUUUCCUCAUCAGAAACUACCAAGAAGAAGGCACAGAGAAGUAGGAAAUGAUUGGUCAAAAAGAUGGGAGAGCUCAAUCAUAUCAAUGGCAGUGGUGCAACAGCAUUGGGGAUGGGUGGGUGGAUGGAUAAAGAGGAAGUGGAAACCAAAAGGCUGUGGCCCCCCACCCCCCUCUCCUUCCAAGGAGAGGAAGGAAGAUUGAGCAGAAAAAAGAAAAAGAUUUGAGUAGGAAAAGCUUGGAAAGUUGGGAGUAUCUCUUGAGACUCCAUCAAUGUGGAAGGAAGAACCAAAAAUGCUCGAAGCAAUCAUUCAAAGUCGAUGUGCUUAUGUGCCACAUUAACAAUCAAUCAUUCUUCAGCUCUUGGGUGUCUUUAUCCUCCUCAUACUAUGAAGGGCUUAAAUCACUCAUAAACCCUAAAUCUUGCAGCUGAACAUCCAAGAAACAGUGCAGCUCGAGCUGAGUUUGUGGUUGGGUUUUCGAUGCUUACUUACACAAUGAGAAGGUUUAAGAAAGAUUAAACCGCACAAAGUUAUGCUGUCAUUCUUUGGUUACUUUACUCACACCAGACAAGUUGUAUUGAUGAAGGCUUGGGAGUGGCGUGAGACAAGUUGAUGGAAGAAGAUGGCUGAAGAUUCAAGUAACAGCAACAAGAAAAAGAUGGACUAACAAAUAGCUUGCAUUGCUGAUUACUAAUAUCAAAACUACAGUCUUUGAUUGCAUGUUCUCCUCUCUCUCUCUCUCUCUCUCUCUCUCUCUACUACUACUACNNNNNNNNNNNNNNNNNNNNNNNNNNNNNNNNNNNNNNNNNNNNNNNNNNNNNNNNNNNNNNNNNNNNNNNNNNNNNNNNNNNNNNNNNNNNNNNNNNNNNNNNNNNNNNNNNNNNNNNNNNNNNNNNNNNNNNNNNNNNNNNNNNNNNNNNNNNNNNNNNNNNNNNNNNNNNNNNNNNNNNNNNNNNNNNNNNNNNNNNNNNNNNNNNNNNNNNNNNNNNNNNNNNNNNNNNNNNNNNNNNNNNNNNNNNNNNNNNNNNNNNNNNNNNNNNNNNNNNNNNNNNNNNNNNNNNNNNNNNNNNNNNNNNNNNNNNNNNNNNNNNNNNNNNNNNNNNNNNNNNNNNNNNNNNNNNNNNNNNNNNNNNNNNNNNNNNNNNNNNNNNNNNNNNNNNNNNNNNNNNNNNNNNNNNNNNNNNNNNNNNNNNNNNNNNNNNNNNNNNNNNNNNNNNNNNNNNNNNNNNNNNNNNNNNNNNNNNNNNNNNNNNNNNNNNNNNNNNNNNNNNNNNNNNNNNNNNNNNNNNNNNNNNNNNNNNNNNNNNNNNNNNNNNNNNNNNNNNNNNNNNNNNNNNNNNNNNNNNNNNNNNNNNNNNNNNNNNNNNNNNNNNNNNNNNNNNNNNNNNNNNNNNNNNNNNNUCUCUCUCUCUCUCUCUCUCUCUCUCUCUCUCUCUCACAAAUACACACACACACAGAGGAGAAGGAGACCUAAUGGUUAUUGAUAGAUUUAGCAGAUCAGUGAUUCAUCUGCUGGUACAGUUAUUUGGGAUAAGUAUAAAGUAAUAAUUGAGUGCUUGAUAGAGUCUGACAUAUGGCUUUGCAGAAGAAGCAUGCAAGAAUAACUAUUUGUGUAAGCUGAAACAUACAUACUCAUGUCAGAUGAGUUUAAACAAGCAAUUGAGUGGUUGAUACGUAGAGUCUGACAUACUCCUUUGCAAAAGGAGAGGAGCAAUGUAAGAAUGACUGUUCUUGCACUACAACUGUGACCAAUGACCUCAGAUUACCUACCUACCUUCCUUCCUACCUACCUGCAUGGUCUUGAGAAUUGCUACAAUCAUGUUUAGGUUUUGGUCGGUGAAUCUUUUUUUCCUUUAUCGCUUUGCUUUAUCUCCAAUAGACCAUGGACUACCACCUCCUUGGGGUUGGCCUUUUGUUGCCGUAUGACUUUUCUACCAUUAACACCCAUCAAGGAAUGCUCCUCUAUUGUCUCCUCCUCUGUAUCCCAUGCUUUCCUUCCUCCUGCGACUUUAAUUCUUGUGUGUGUGUGUGUGUGUGUGUUUUGUGUCAGGAACCAACAAAGAAGACCCAUCUACUUCUGUCUUCCCUCUCUCUCCAACCUCACUUGCUGGGUUUGUUUAGGUGUUCUUUCUUCAGAGGGUAGCCUGUAAAAGCUCAGUGUACUCCCUCCCAUAAAGAGCAAACCCCUCACUGGAAGACAAGAUUUUCCCCCAUGACUUUUUAUCUUCCCCCAUUGCUUCUGUCCCAAUGACCUGCCCAUCCUUGCUUUCCUCACUAUAAUACACUUCUCCCCAUUCCCUUCCCCAGCUACCUGCUCUGGACCUCCCUCCUCCUUCUAUACCCCUAACUCUCCUUUGCUUAUUCCCAUCGAUUGGCUACUCGAGAGAGAGAGAGAGAGAGAGGGAGAGAGAGAGAAAGGGAAGUAGAUGUAUGGAAUGAAGCUUGAUUCAAGAUCUUUCCAAAGACUUCCAUGGAUGGUUUCGUAGCAUCUGUUUGAAGAGAUCUCGGACCAGGCUUCAUUCCUCACAUCUUGCUUUCCGGCAUCAAGGAAGUAAGGUGAAGGCUUCAACAGGUGACAUGCAGUCUGCCCACUACUGCUUUGCAUUUGGGUACUCUUCUAAGUCAUUGAUGCAACAUCAACAAUUGCAUCACCAUCAAAUCAACUCCCAAUUAGUCUCUCACUUGCUUUCCAUUUAGCUCCCAUAGCUUCUGAAAUAUCAUCUGUAUUAAGCUUCUGAGCAUAAAUAUUACCCUUCAAAUUUUCAGAAGCAAUAUGAUCUCCCUGCUAGCAAUAUGAUCACAAGUAAUGAGUACGUAGAAGAAAUCUAUCGAUCAUCCAAUUUGCAUCGAGUUUAACCGUCGUUAUAAUCACCAAAUUCUUUUUUUCUUCUUUUCAAUGAUAUUGUUUGUUGAUGUUUCAUUUUCCUUUUAGAUCAUGCAGCAAAAAACACUCACACUUCCAUGCUCAUAAGAUACAAGUGUUGAGGUAUUAGUGUUCAGCUUAGCACACCAUCACCAUUGUUUUAAGCUGCUCCUUUGUUGAACUCACAAAAUGUAGAGGGCAUGUAAUGUUGUGUUACUGAUGAAUCUACUAUAAUGAUUACAUUUUAAUCUGAAACACUAAUCAUCAAUGUGAAGUUAGAUAAUUAGGCCCUGUAAAUUGCAUGGCAAUGUUCUACUUAGUGUCAGACAUGCCAACCUAAACUCACAAAUUAAUUAGGUCAUACAGUUUACUGGCCAUAAUUUCACCAACCAAAUGUAAUAAAUGGCAUGCAGUGCCAAAGAGACAGUAAGCAAUGCAAGUAUCUAUCUAACUGAGAAGGAAGUGUAUGAUCUGGUAGAACAUUUUUGGGUUAGUUUUAGCUGCUACUUCAGUCAGUUCUCCACAACUUUGUAGCUGAUAACACAAACCCUAUCUUUGUGUGUUCUUGAACGUUGUCUACAAGGUACAGACACCAGCAUUGUCAAGUUUAUCUUGGUAGUUCCAUGGUAAUGCUUACUUACAUCCUUCUGAGGCUUCACCUUUUGGUGAGUGGAAGUCUUCUGCCUUUCACUAGCUAUAGCAUUUAUAUUCUUGUUAUUGUUCUUCAUUGAAACAUUUCAGGUAGAUAAUCCUUCAGGAGGAGUAGUACGGUACUCCAUGAUGCUCAAAGUGAUCAGUUGAUGAAAACAGUUUAUGCUUCCCAGGCAGAUGCUUUGAAGGAGAGUAAGGCAUGAUGAACUCAGGGUAGAAGACAGCUUUUGCCGCUUCAGGUUCCUGCAUGAUGAUAACUGGCCAACCAAGUACUGUGUUUGAUGCUCUCUUCUCUGACCUUCUUGUUUCUGGAUCGAGUACUGCAACCUCCGCAGUGGUUUCACAGUUAAAACAUUACCUUCCAAUGCAAAAUCUAUGCUUCCUCUGUGUGUGUGUGUGUGAGAGAGAGAGAGAGAGAGAGUUUAUUUUGUUGUGUGAUCUCCAUGCAGAUCUGGAAUACAAUUAUUUGCCUUUGGUUCUACUGCAUGCAAGAAGAGCCUCUGCUGCAGCUGCUGACAAAAAUAUAUUUGUAUUUCUAUAUUAUAUUUAAAAGAGAUAAACUUAUUUUUAUAGUUAAAAUAUAUAAAAUUUAUUACAUAUAUAUAUAUAUAUUUGUGAAAGUGAGUUUGGUUAUAUAAAUAAUUUAUAAUAUUUGAUGACCAAAAUAUAAAAUUCUUAACUAUAAUGAGUUGACAAGAAAAACAUGUUAAUGGUGAAUUGUAAUGAUAGG
RNAcentral lists this long non-coding RNA (16539 nucleotides) under Musa acuminata (dwarf banana). RNAcentral's name for it is "long non-coding RNA (MACU_LNC005485)". The stretch from base 14721 to 14825 matches the Rfam family "mir-166 microRNA precursor family". Lineage: Eukaryota; Viridiplantae; Streptophyta; Magnoliopsida; Zingiberales; Musaceae. The record is from RNAcentral.